AUAUAAAGUUGUUAACAGAGAAGUAGUUUUUACAUUUUAAAAGAAGCAAUAAUGUUUUAGGUCUACAUUAGUCAGUUGAACUUUGUUUGUUCACUUAAGUAUAAUUUCCUGUUUGCAUUUGUUUAUAGUUUGUUUCUUUGAACCUCUUUAAGACCUUUCAGUUAUAAAUAUCUUUGGGUAAAGGCUCUGCUGAAUUGUUUAAUAUAGCUAAAAUAUUUCAGUAAAUAAAGGGGAAAAAGGCUUUAGUAGUGUCUACCAUCUACCUUUUUUACUUGACUGUUAACUGUUACAGAUACCUUUUAUAAGUAUCUAUAAGGGCUAUGUUUUGGUAACCUCUAUGUGGGUUUUCUUUUUGAGCCUUUAACUAUUGUAAAGGGUUGUGGGGGAUUUCUAGCUAGUGGCUUGCACUUUUUUUUUCUGUUUAUUCUUUUACUAAUCAGUAUCUCUGGGGCUUAGUGUCUAGUUGCCUGUGGUUUCUCAUGUUCUGUGUUUAUGGGCAUAAAUUCUUAUAUUUUGGGGGAAAAGUGUCUGCCCCUCAGAUUACAGAAGGUGUUUAUGCAGUUAUAAAGAUAAUAUUUUCUUUAUUGAGUGAUCAUUGGGGAGGAAAAAAAGGCUCUUUUUGCACUAAAGUUAAGAAAGUGCAGCGUAAUGUUUUCUGGUUUGCUUUCUGUGAGACCUCAGCUGCAAGAGAUGCUGCUUUAUCAGAUGGAGUGGCUGCCAGCAUGGAAAGGCUUGACGUCAUGGCUGAGCUGAUCUUAUGAAGAGUUGCUACCAGAAAGUAUAGCAGAAAGCUAUUUAGUUUUUUUUUUUUUUUUCCUGACCAGUGCUUUGGCUUCUAGUUGAGGAACCUGCUGCAAAUGACAGAUUCUGGUACAUUAGGUCUGUCUUGUAGCUUUUGCAGCAGAUGUGUUAACCCUCACUAAGAACUUCUAGGCACCCCGAUGAACUCUUCACUAGAUAAGGACUGGGCUGGUCCAUGACUUUCAAGUGCACAGUGGGUUUAGAAUUUGUGAAGUUCAUGAAGAGCUCUGCCUUCUUGAUCACUGCAGGAUAGUGCUGAUGUGGGAGAGUUUGUUGCCUGAAGUCCUAAUCUCUUGUGCUGGGAAGAAAAGAAGCAUACCUGGAAAAAAAAGUCUUAAGAGCAAGUCCUGAGAGGCCCUUCAAUGGCUGAAAUGGAUACUGAGAUGAAAACGGCCCCCCCUCUAAGUUUGCAGCUGUCAUACUUGGAGCUACUGUCAUGGAUGGUACCUCCUUAUAUUUGACGUUAUACAGCCAGAGAUGAAGGUGAUUGUUGCCUCAGGUGCUGGACCUGGGUGCUGCUCCAGUUCAUCUGAAUGAUCACACAGGUGUUACAACAACCACAAGCACAUUGACUGGGAGAGGAUUUCAGGAUGCAGUAUCGUGUUUACAAGAUAACUACCCAUCCCUCCUUGCUACCUUGGAGAAUUUGCAACGGUGGGGCCAGAUUUAAUGCUGGAUGUGGAAAUCUUCUUUCUAACCAGGGAUGUAACCUGGUGCUGCCUGAUGACACAACACAGCAGGACAGCCUGGUUUUGGUAACUCCUUCAGCUGUGAUGCAGUUCCUGUCAUAUUUUAAAAGACAGCUAUUUGUUCGCAGCUAUGUGUGAUCUUUGCCUCUACAUUAAGCUUCACGGUAUUUCUUUCAGUACCCACUGAAGCACAAGGAGAAAAGAUGGAGAAUGCAGAAGAGAGUAGCCCAAAUCUGGAAAACCAAAUGGGAGUGGGAAUGAGAAAGUGCUCCAGCAUGGAAUGGCACUUUCCACUUACCUGAGUUCUGUUGGGAGCUGAGGCUCUUCCUAUGCUUUUCUGCAGCUGGGUGGCAGCAUUUCUGCAGCGAUUCGUGUGUAUGGUAAAUUAAUGACUCAAGGAUUUUUUUUUUUUUUUUUUGGAUGUAUCAGAUGUUAUGUGCUUAUUUUAGCUGUGAUUAUCCUUUUUAGAGCAACAUAAAACUCACGCAUUCUUCGUUACAUGUCUGUAAUAGUGAAUCCUAAUGAUGUUACUGCAAAUGUCAGUAGGUGGAAGAUUUUACAAAAUGACCUGGAGUUUAUAAACCUGUAGUGCGGAGACUUGCCUACUGUCUGCCUCCUGGCAUUUGGUGUCUUCCCUUACAUUCAGUCUGUGUUCAGUAUUUCCCAACUCAAACACCAGUUUGCUUCAUUUACACACAUCUGGGAAGAUGAAUUCAAAGACUGCCUCAAAGAUCCAAACUGAUAGUUUCCUUCACUGUAUUUCCCAUUUGUCUAUGCCACUCUUCACCUUCUACAUUAACAAAUUAAGUCUUAACUUUAAGGUUGAAUUUUGCAAGCCUAAAUGUUAAGCUAUAGGAUUUUUUCAUUAUUUGCAUCAGAAAGAGAAAUUCCUCACUGUGAAAUUAUCAUAGGGUUAUUGCUUAUCCUUUUUAUCUCUCUUAAGCUUUUUUGCCCCUUACCUUGAAAUUGGCUUUUCUGGGUAAUUUUCCUGUCUGUCCUUUGUACUUAUUCCUGUGUUCCUCUGUCCUUUGUGUAACCCAUUUUUUGAAUGGAUGUAGCUUUCUAGCAAUAUUUUACUAGUGCUGUCAUUACCCAGCUUUUAAUGGUUACGUUCCAUUUUAUGAAGAAUGCUGUGAACGUACCCUGAGAUGAGGCUGAGCCAGUUGCUGUGGCUGUGCACUGUAAUCCUUCCACCGUCACCUGGUGCUUGGCUGCGUUGAAACCAUUUGGUUGGAUUGUGACUAUUCGAUAGGCAAUUAGAUAGUUCUGUAUCAGUGACCUGUCUUCAAUUAUUACCCUACUGAACUUUGUUAACUGCAAACUUUAUCAGCAAAGAUUUUAUAUCACUUGUAACAAUAUUGAAUGACAUUUGAUCAAAUGCUGAUCUCCGGGAUAACCAUCACUGACUUUCACAUUAACUGAAGUUUUCCUAUCAGCAACUCAAUUAAAGACCUGAUGCUGAGUCAAUUUUUAAUCCGCUUUGUGUCUUUUUAGUACUAUUUGAUAUCCUUUAAAAAAAAUGUGAAACUGAAAAACUUUCAUUAUGUGGAAUUAAAUCUAACAGCUUGAAGAAAUUAAAAUAGCUACAUAGAUCUGUAGCUACAUGAGUAAUCUUGUAAGCUGCAACAAGUUUGUUUGAGAAGACUUAGAAAGGCGUAGAAAGACUAUGAAACCAUAUUGACAGUCAUUAAUUGCAUUUUAGCUUCUAAUUCUUUUUUGUUAUGAGACUCACAGUAACUGCUCUGUGGGAGUAAUAUAAUGUUAUCCAGACUGUAACUCCCUGGGUAUCCAUCUUGCCAUUUUUACAUCUUGAAACUACCCAGGGGGUCCCUCAAGGCUUGUGAAAUUCCUCAGUUUAAAGGAUUUAUUAAACACAGGUGUUCAGAAGGUUUCUCUGUUCAUCUGAGUGGGGCUUUACAGAUUCAUAGAUGCGAAUCUUUUGGAUGCACCAAUUUGAAAAUGCAUAGUGUAAGUGGGUUCUUCCUUCUUUUACAUACAGCAAUCUUUGUAUUGCAUGUUUCAUAGACAGGAUACAUAUGUCUAAAGAAAAAAAUACCUGAACAUCCAAACCCCAAAAGCCCCAAAAUAAACGAAAAGCCCAAACCAACCAACCAAGCAGUUUACAUGUAUCUGCUGUCGAUAUCCCUGUUUAGGAUUUUGUCAACUGCGUUUAGCAACAAGCUGUGUCUGACUUGAGAUUACUUUUGUUCUUGCUGUAUUUUAAAAUGGUUUGUUUCCAUUAACUGCACCAGUUUUAUUUUCUCUAACCAUAUUAGCUGUUGAUAUCUUAUUGGUUUGCUUUUGUCCCUGUAUUUAUUAUGUAUGUUUGAACUCCUAACUCUUAUUUGGCACUGUUACCUUUCCUGUUCCACCAUACUUAGUGGGCUUUUAUGUUCUCUUUGCUGUUUUAACACCCUCUGGCACCAGGAAGACUGAGUUGCAGGUUUUUCUAUUUUUACAUUGGUGUGUUUGUGGCUUUCUGACCCAUCUUCUAUUUUUUGAGUGUCCUUUUAAGACAAAUCAGUGACUACUAAUGCACUCCAGAAAAAUACUGAAUAUCCAUGACAAAUCUUCCCAGCUGUCCUAAAAAUUUCUUUUACAAAUGGAUAUAUGAUUUAAU
Columba livia (rock pigeon) is the source of this 4110-nucleotide long non-coding RNA. RefSeq lists it as uncharacterized. The transcript has 4 exons. The record is from RefSeq and is a predicted model, not a curated record. Lineage: Eukaryota; Metazoa; Chordata; Aves; Columbiformes; Columbidae.